GUUGAGGCCCUUCUUGUGUAUCUGGAGAAAAUAGAGGUUAUGACUCCUCAGGAGCAAAAAACAUAACCUGAAGAGGAAGGAAGUGGAUUUGGGGUUCACCAUUUCUAGGGGCACACUUGAUUGAAGACUGAGACUUCUGAAGAGAAGGCCAGAAGAUACAAAGACAGACCAUCCCAGUUGAAUGCUGUCUUCCAAGAACAGAAGAAGAUGAUCCAGGCCCAGGUAACUGACUUUUGGUUGGUUUUAUUCUUCCCUUUGUUCCAUAAUAGAUUUGUAGAAGCCUGUAAACAUCAAUUUCACUAAUAUAAAAAGUAUAAAUUUCAAAAAGCAGGAUCUGGAGAGAAGUAAGCUUAGUUUCUAAACUCAAUAUCAUGCAAAAUAGUAGGAUAAGGAAUAUAAUGUUCAUAGCAUUAACACUAAAUUAUGAAUUUUAUGACACCAUGCAUGGCUGGAGGAUCCUGUCGAUUAUAUUAGCUGUCAGCUUGCAUCUAAUAUCUCUGACAGCCAAUGUCACAAGAAAAUCAUAAUUUACAUGGUAUGUCCCGUUUUUGAAGAUAAAACAGAUUACUUCCUGGGGGUUGCCAUUAUUUCAUGGCACUUUGGUCUCAGGAAAUUUCUUCAGUGGUUCUUCCUAGAGUUGAUGUGGCGGAUGGUGUCCAGAAUAGCAGCCUUCUCAUAAAUUCAGAUGCAGGUUUCCUGUGGCUGUUUCUUGAAGGACUCCUUAUAUACUGUUAUGGAAUAGACUAAGCAAACUCAGUAAACACAGGGACUAACAUAAGUUAAUUUCAGCCUUGUGGCAGUCUGGAUUUAACUUGGAAUAAAACCUAGACAUCCUGGGAAUAUGGCAGGAUUCCAGGACUUUCAAAUGGUUCUCAAUGAACAGAUAGCUGAACUGGUGUUUGAAUAUAGAUUUGGAGACAGGGAGUUGAAAGUGAUAUUGUCUGGACAGGACUUGGAUUGGAGUUUACAGAUUUCCUUUAGACUUUCACCUUGUAGAAAAUGCCAAGUCCUUAUUGUAUAGUAAAUAAUUGAACAAAGGGAGUUUUGGCCUUUGUGUUCAAGCUAAUGGAGGGUGAGCUCUGGGCUUCUGGAAUGUCUUGCUAAUGGUAGUGUCUUUGUUUGCUUGGGUCCUUUGGCCACUGGACAGCCUAAAAAUAUGAGCUAUGAUAGAUCUGUGAUCUAUGAUAGGUCAGAAACUUCCAGAACUAGAGGCUAAAGUUAAAACCUGACUUCUGGGAGGGUGUGGACCUAAGAUCAGCCACAUAGGUCAUCUGUGAUUGUGUCCCAGUAAAAUAAGAAAGUACACAUAUCAAAAAAUAAGUUUCAGCUGGGCGCGGUGGCUCAUGGCUGUAAUCCAGCACUUUGGGAGACCGAGGUGGGUGGAUCACGAGGUCUGGAGAUCGAGACCAUCCUGGCUCACACGGUGAAACCCCAUCUCUACUCAAAAUACAAAAAAUUGGUCGGGCGUGGUGGCAGGUGCCUGUAAUCCCAGCUACUUGGGAGGCUGAGGCAGGAGAAUGGCGUGAACCCAGGAGAUGGAAACUGCAGUGAGCCGAAAUGGUGCCACUGCACUCCAGCCUGGGUGACAGAGCAAGAUUCCAUCUC
Molecule: small RNA, 1605 nt
Filed under: Pan troglodytes (chimpanzee)
Lineage: Eukaryota; Metazoa; Chordata; Mammalia; Primates; Hominidae
Description: retained intron
Source: RNAcentral